RNAcentral lists this ribosomal RNA (495 nucleotides) under Triticum aestivum (bread wheat). RNAcentral's name for it is "partial small subunit ribosomal RNA". Lineage: Eukaryota; Viridiplantae; Streptophyta; Magnoliopsida; Poales; Poaceae. The record is from RNAcentral.
UCCUUCAGAUCACCACAGUACACGAUCUCCAGCGUCUGCAGGCUAGGCAGGGUGUCCAUAUGCUCAGACAAGGGAAGCACAUGUAUGAGCCUGGGGCAACAGUCCAGGUGCAAGAACGCUAGGCGUUCAAACGAACGACUACCAGGUUGAGCUACUGCACUCCAGUUCCAGAUGUAGCACGCCUUCAGGAGCUGAGACGCCCAGAAUGUAGACAAUAACCGAAAGGCACUGUGGCCAUCACUUAGUUCGGGAGUUGCAAAGACAGAGCAUAGAUUGGGGCACCUCUCGACACGGCCCCAAUCGAGGUAGCACCAGCUGGAACCUUGUGGAAAUGGAAGGCAAGUGAUGGAUGAGCUAUCAUGCACAUGAAGCAUGUAAGCCCUAUCAUACAUGAAACUAUGGGGUAAAGUAGCACUAGUAGUAGUUCCUUCAAUGCUGCUCUGUUCUUGCUGUAGUAAUCUCCCCUUCAUCUCCUGUUCAUCUUGUACUUGAACG